UCCGCUUUGUGUGCGGCAGUCUCCUUAGAUAUGCAACUAAGGACAAGGGUUGCGCUCGUUGCGGGACUUAACCCAACAUCUCACGACACGAGCUGACGACAGCCAUGCAGCAUCUGUGUACCCGUCACGAAGGAGGCUCUCCUUUCAGAGAGUUGCGAGUACAUGUCAAGCCCAGGUAAGGUUCUUCGCGUCGCAUCGAAUUAAACCACACGCUCCGCUGCUUGUGCGGGUCCCCGUCAAUUCCUUUGAGUUUUAGUCUUGCGACCGUACUCCCCAGGCGGACCACUUAAUGCGUUAGCUUCGGCACGGGAGGGGUCAACACCCCCCACACCUAGUGGUCAUCGUUUACUGCUAGGACUAC
RNAcentral lists this unclassified non-coding RNA (361 nucleotides) under uncultured Ktedonobacteria bacterium. Its description in RNAcentral is "contains 16S-23S intergenic spacer region". The record is from RNAcentral. Lineage: Bacteria; Bacillati; Chloroflexota; Ktedonobacteria.